Molecule: ribosomal RNA, 480 nt
Filed under: Thyrinula parasitica
Lineage: Eukaryota; Fungi; Ascomycota; Dothideomycetes; Asterinales; Asterinaceae
Description: partial 18S ribosomal RNA
Source: RNAcentral
UGGAGGAGGUCGGCAACGACCACCCAGAGCCGGAAAGUUGUACAAACUUGGUCAUUUAGAGGAAGUAAAAGUCGUAACAAGGUUUCCUUCCCGGGCACGCCCCUACGAAGACCCAGCUGCCCCUCGGUACCGAGGGAGGCGCCCACGACUCUAAAUAACGGGCGCCGCGUCGGCUAGUCCCCGCCGGUGCGGACGCACCGACCCGGGCAACAUCGUCAAACUGCGGGAAAGCCCUGCCACGACUACCGGGACCUCACCGCCCCAGCAAUGGGAGCGGGUGCCCGCAGCUAAAAGCUGCAGGUACGGUAAAGCACCGAAGUCUAGGGGCGAUCCGCCGCCAAACCCUCCCCGUACCGGGAGGGCCCAGCUCACAGGCCAGACGGCGAUGGGCGCAGUCGCGCUUAAGAUAUGGUCGAGUGACCCGUCGAGAGGCGGGUGCAACUCAGGAACGUCCGUAGGUGAACCUGCGGAAGGAUCAUU